RNAcentral lists this ribosomal RNA (302 nucleotides) under uncultured bacterium. Its description in RNAcentral is "partial 16S ribosomal RNA". It matches the Rfam family "Bacterial small subunit ribosomal RNA", at positions 508 to 809 of the family's 1533-position model. The record is from RNAcentral.
GCAGUAGCCGCGGGAAUACGGAGGGUGCAAGCGUUAUCCGGAUUUAUUGGGUUUAAAGGGUCCGUAGGCGGAUCUGUAAGUCAGUGGUGAAAUCUCACAGCUUAACUGUGAAACUGCCAUUGAUACUGCAGGUCUUGAGUAAAUUUGAAGUGGCUGGAAUAAGUAGUGUAGCGGUGAAAUGCAUAGAUAUUACUUAGAACACCAAUUGCGAAGGCAGGUCACUAAGAUUUAACUGACGCUGAUGGACGAAAGCGUGGGGAGCGAACAGGAUUAGAUACCCCGGUAGUCCCUGUCCUUAUACA